Molecule: transfer RNA, 77 nt
Filed under: Coriobacteriia bacterium
Lineage: Bacteria; Bacillati; Actinomycetota; Coriobacteriia
Description: tRNA-Glu
Rfam family: tRNA
About the family: Transfer RNA (tRNA) molecules are approximately 80 nucleotides in length. Their secondary structure includes four short double-helical elements and three loops (D, anti-codon, and T loops). Further hydrogen bonds mediate the characteristic L-shaped molecular structure. tRNAs have two regions of fundamental functional importance: the anti-codon, which is responsible for specific mRNA codon recognition, and the 3' end, to which the tRNAs corresponding amino acid is attached (by aminoacyl-tRNA synthetases). tRNAs cope with the degeneracy of the genetic code in two manners: having more than one tRNA (with a specific anti-codon) for a particular amino acid; and 'wobble' base-pairing, i.e. permitting non-standard base-pairing at the 3rd anti-codon position.
Source: RNAcentral
GCUCCCGUCGUCUAGCGGUUUAGGACGCCGCCCUCUCAAGGCGGAGAUCGUCGGUUCGAAUCCGAUCGGGAGUACCA